UUUAACAUGAUGGACUAUAGGACAGGACUGCUGCUUUUAACUGUCUGCUGGGCAGGUGUUGAUGGUCAGACUCUGACAGAAUCUGAACCAGUGGUUAAAAGGCCUGGAGAAUCCCACAGAUUGACCUGUACAGCCUCUGGAUUCACUUUCAGCAGCUACAACAUGAACUGGAUCAGACAGGCUCCUGGAAAAGGACCAGAGUGGAUCGCAUUUAUUGGUACUCUCAGUAGGAGCAUCUACUAUUCUCAGUCAGUUCAAGGCCGGUUUACCAUCUCCAGAGACAACAGCAGACAGCAGAUGAACAGUCUGAAGACUGAAGAUUCAGCUGUUUAUUACUGUGCUCGAGAGUCACAGUGA
Non-coding RNA from Micropterus salmoides (largemouth bass), 357 nucleotides. The record is from the annotation of a RefSeq genome assembly. Lineage: Eukaryota; Metazoa; Chordata; Actinopteri; Centrarchiformes; Centrarchidae.